This 442-nucleotide ribosomal RNA is filed under the name uncultured bacterium. Its description in RNAcentral is "bacterial SSU rRNA". It matches the Rfam family "Bacterial small subunit ribosomal RNA", at positions 8 to 452 of the family's 1533-position model. The record is from RNAcentral.
AGAGUUUGAUCCUGGCUCAGAUUGAACGCUGGCGGCAUGCCUUACACAUGCAAGUCGAACGGCAGCACGGGGGCAACCCUGGUGGCGAGUGGCGAACGGGUGAGUAAUACAUCGGAACGUGUCCUGUAGUGGGGGAUAGCCCGGCGAAAGCCGGAUUAAUACCGCAUACGAUCUACGGAAGAAAGCGGGGGAUCGCAAGACCUCGCGCUAUAGGGGCGGCCGAUGGCAGAUUAGCUAGUUGGUGGGGUAAAGGCCUACCAAGGCGACGAUCUGUAGCUGGUCUGAGAGGACGACCAGCCACACUGGGACUGAGACACGGCCCAGACUCCUACGGGAGGCAGCAGUGGGGAAUUUUGGACAAUGGGGGAAACCCUGAUCCAGCAAUGCCGCGUGUGUGAAGAAGGCCUUCGGGUUGUAAAGCACUUUUGUCCGGAAAGAAAAC